This 693-nucleotide ribosomal RNA is filed under the name Bacillus sp. enrichment clone Lace7. RNAcentral's name for it is "bacterial SSU rRNA". It matches the Rfam family "Bacterial small subunit ribosomal RNA", at positions 73 to 750 of the family's 1533-position model. The record is from RNAcentral. Lineage: Bacteria; Bacillati; Bacillota; Bacilli; Caryophanales; Bacillaceae.
UAGAAGCUUGCUUCUAUGACGUUAGCGGCGGACGGGUGAGUAACACGUGGGCAACCUGCCUGUAAGACUGGGAUAACUUCGGGAAACCGAAGCUAAUACCGGAUAGGAUCUUCUCCUUCAUGGGAGAUGAUUGAAAGAUGGUUUCGGCUAUCACUUACAGAUGGGCCCGCGGUGCCUUAGCUAGUUGGUGAGGUAACGGCUCACCAAGGCAACGAUGCAUAGCCGACCUGAGAGGGUGAUCGGCCACACUGGGACUGAGACACGGCCCAGACUCCUACGGGAGGCAGCAGUAGGGAAUCUUCCGCAAUGGACGAAAGUCUGACGGAGCAACGCCGCGUGAGUGAUGAAGGCUUUCGGGUCGUAAAACUCUGUUGUUAGGGAAGAACAAGUACAAGAGUAACUGCUUGUACCUUGACGGUACCUAACCAGAAAGCCACGGCUAACUACGUGCCAGCAGCCGCGGUAAUACGUAGGUGGCAAGCGUUAUCCGGAAUUAUUGGGCGUAAAGCGCGCGCAGGCGGUUUCUUAAGUCUGAUGUGAAAGCCCACGGCUCAACCGUGGAGGGUCAUUGGAAACUGGGGAACUUGAGUGCAGAAGAGAAAAGCGGAAUUCCACGUGUAGCGGUGAAAUGCGUAGAGAUGUGGAGGAACACCAGUGGCGAAGGCGGCUUUUUGGUCUGUAACUGACGCUGAG